RNAcentral lists this ribosomal RNA (253 nucleotides) under uncultured bacterium. RNAcentral describes it as "partial 16S ribosomal RNA". It matches the Rfam family "Bacterial small subunit ribosomal RNA", at positions 524 to 776 of the family's 1533-position model. The record is from RNAcentral.
UACGAAGGGGGCUAGCGUUGUUCGGAAUUACUGGGCGUAAAGCGCACGUAGGCGGAUCGAUCAGUCAGGGGUGAAAUCCCAGGGCUCAACCCUGGAACUGCCUUUGAUACUGUCGAUCUGGAGCAUGGAAGAGGUGAGUGGAAUUCCGAGUGUAGAGGUGAAAUUCGUAGAUAUUCGGAGGAACACCAGUGGCGAAGGCGGCUCACUGGUCCAUUACUGACGCUGAGGUGCGAAAGCGUGGGGAGCAAACAGG